Molecule: non-coding RNA, 73 nt
Organism: Parelaphostrongylus tenuis
Lineage: Eukaryota; Metazoa; Nematoda; Chromadorea; Rhabditida; Metastrongylidae
Source: the annotation of a GenBank genome assembly
ACCUCGGUGGUUUAAUGGUAGAGCACGCGUCCCCGGGUUGGAUGAAACGCCGGUUCGAAUCCCGCCUGAGGCG